Molecule: ribosomal RNA, 468 nt
Filed under: uncultured bacterium
Lineage: Bacteria
Description: partial 16S ribosomal RNA
Rfam family: Bacterial small subunit ribosomal RNA
Source: RNAcentral
GACGAACGCUGGCGGCGUGCUUAACACAUGCAAGUCGAACGGAAAGGCCCUGCUUUUGUGGGGUGCUCGAGUGGCGAACGGGUGAGUCACACGUGAGUAACCUGCCCUUGACUUUGGGAUAACUUCAGGAAACUGGGGCUAAUACCUGAUAGGAGCUCCUGCUGCAUGGUGGGGGUUGGAAAUUUUCGGCGGUUGGGGAUGGACUCGCGGCUUAUCAGCUUGUUGGUGGGGUAGUGGCUUACCAAGGCUAUGACGGGUAGCCGGCCUGAGAGGGUGACCGGCCACAUUGGGACUGAGAUACGGCCCAGACUCCUACGGGAGGCAGCAGUGGGGAAUAUUGCACAAUGGGCGGAAGCCUGAUGCAGCAACGCCGCGUGCGGGAAGACGGCCUUCGGGUUGUAAACCGCUUUCGCCUGUGACGAAGCGUGAGUGACGGUAAUGGGUAAAGAAGCACCGGCUAACUACGUG